Molecule: non-coding RNA, 93 nt
Organism: Bacillus sp. VT-16-64
Lineage: Bacteria; Bacillati; Bacillota; Bacilli; Caryophanales; Bacillaceae
Source: Rfam
AAACCCUUACAGAGAUGUAAGACUGGAGUGUGAGAAGUCAGCAGAAGUCGUAGUAGUGAAGACAUCUAAUGAAAGUUAGAAAGAGCGAAGGAC